RNAcentral lists this transfer RNA (134 nucleotides) under Caudoviricetes sp. RNAcentral describes it as "tRNA-Lys". It matches the Rfam family "tRNA". Rfam says of the family: Transfer RNA (tRNA) molecules are approximately 80 nucleotides in length. Their secondary structure includes four short double-helical elements and three loops (D, anti-codon, and T loops). The record is from RNAcentral. Lineage: Duplodnaviria; Heunggongvirae; Uroviricota; Caudoviricetes.
GCCGUUGUAGCUCAAGUAGAGCGGCGGGCAUUUAACCCGCGUCACACUGACGAUACGCAAGAGCGGCCCCGCCCGGCCUGUCCCCGGGACGGAUUGAAACUCUUGUGGUGCUGGUUCGAGUCCAGCCAUCGGCU